RNAcentral lists this ribosomal RNA (397 nucleotides) under uncultured bacterium. RNAcentral describes it as "partial 16S ribosomal RNA". It matches the Rfam family "Bacterial small subunit ribosomal RNA", at positions 523 to 918 of the family's 1533-position model. The record is from RNAcentral.
AUACGUAGGGUGCGAGCGUUGUCCGAAUUACUGGGCGUAAAGAGCUCGUAGGUGGUUUGUCGCGUCGUCUGUGAAAUUCCGGGGCUUAACUCCGGGCGUGCAGGCGAUACGGGCAUAACUUGAGUACUGUAGGGGAGACUGGAAUUCCUGGUGUAGCGGUGAAAUGCGCAGAUAUCAGGAGGAACACCGGUGGCGAAGGCGGGUCUCUGGGCAGUAACUGACGCUGAGGAGCGAAAGCAUGGGUAGCGAACAGGAUUAGAUACCCUGGUAGUCCAUGCCGUAAACGGUGGGCGCUAGGUGUAGGGGUCUUCCACGACUUCUGUGCCGUAGCUAACGCAUUAAGCGCCCCGCCUGGGGAGUACGGCCGCAAGGCUAAAACUCAAAGGAAUUGACGGGG